GAUCUACACUCCUCGGCCUUUUGAAUCACUGCCUCCUCGAAGAUUUCAUCUUUCUCUUGAUGGCCAACUUGAUGGACGUAGGUGACAGCUUCAUUAUGAAGAUAAAGAAAAUAGAGUCUUUCUACAACAAGAGAGUUUGUAGCAAUUCAAUGGCAGAAAAUCUGGUCAGAGAAAUGGUCUACUUAUAAAGACCACUGACGGCCUAGAUCGGAUCAUCAAAUCAUCAGAUCUCACUACUUGAUAGGCAUUGGGAGCGACAUCCUUUGCGAUCGUACGUCACAUUCUUUCCUGAUCAAACUGCGUUGGGUGAGUACACGAGGUGUGCUUCGGGAUCCAUCGAUAUUUGACAACUCAUAUUUCUUUCUCCCAAGUCAGAAUUCUGUGGCUCCUCGAUCUCUCUUUCUUCUUAUCUCUCCUUCCCAAGUAAUUAAUUCAUAAGUGUUUUAUGUCAUCCUUUAUUGUUAUAUGACUUCUUGCAUUAGUCUAAUGCUCAUGAGUCAUUAUUUUAUAACAUCCUAUGUUUUUAUAUGACAUCCUACUUUGGUUAAUAACUAUUAUUUAUAGUUUUAUGAUAUUUUGUAUUGUUAUAUGAUAUCCUACAUAGUUUAAUGACUUCUAGUUAGUGUUUUAUGACAUUUUAUAUUAUCCUAGUGCACGAGUAGUAUCUAUGACUUGUUCUUCCUAAUUAUAGGACAUUCUAUUAGAUGAUAUAUCAAAAUCUAGUUGCUUGUCCUAGUUAGUGCAACAUAAAGUAACAAUGAUCGCAUAAGAAGUCAUAAACAAGUAACAGGAUAUCAUAAUCGCUAUCGAAAAGUUAUAUAGGGCAGC
RNAcentral lists this long non-coding RNA (828 nucleotides) under Elaeis guineensis (African oil palm). Its description in RNAcentral is "long non-coding RNA (EGUI_LNC029696)". Lineage: Eukaryota; Viridiplantae; Streptophyta; Magnoliopsida; Arecales; Arecaceae. The record is from RNAcentral.